Molecule: ribosomal RNA, 719 nt
Filed under: Bacillus sp. QJJH42
Lineage: Bacteria; Bacillati; Bacillota; Bacilli; Caryophanales; Bacillaceae
Description: bacterial SSU rRNA
Rfam family: Bacterial small subunit ribosomal RNA
Source: RNAcentral
UGUUGUUAGGGAAGAACAAGUACCGUUCGAAUAGGGCGGUACCUUGACGGUACCUAACCAGAAAGCCACGGCUAACUACGUGCCAGCAGCCGCGGUAAUACGUAGGUGGCAAGCGUUAUCCGGAAUUAUUGGGCGUAAAGCGCGCGCAGGCGGUCCUUUAAGUCUGAUGUGAAAGCCCACGGCUCAACCGUGGAGGGUCAUUGGAAACUGGGGGACUUGAGUGCAGAAGAGGAGAGCGGAAUUCCACGUGUAGCGGUGAAAUGCGUAGAGAUGUGGAGGAACACCAGUGGCGAAGGCGGCUCUCUGGUCUGUAACUGACGCUGAGGCGCGAAAGCGUGGGGAGCGAACAGGAUUAGAUACCCUGGUAGUCCACGCCGUAAACGAUGAGUGCUAAGUGUUAGAGGGUUUCCGCCCUUUAGUGCUGCAGCAAACGCAUUAAGCACUCCGCCUGGGGAGUACGGUCGCAAGACUGAAACUCAAAGGAAUUGACGGGGGCCCGCACAAGCGGUGGAGCAUGUGGUUUAAUUCGAAGCAACGCGAAGAACCUUACCAGGUCUUGACAUCCUUAGGCCAUCUCUAGAGAUAGAGCUUUCCCUUCGGGGACCACAGUGACAGGUGGUGCAUGGUUGUCGUCAGCUCGUGUCGUGAGAUGUUGGGUUAAGUCCCGCAACGAGCGCAACCCUUGAUCUUAGUUGCCAGCAUUCAGUUGGGCACUCUAA